RNAcentral lists this ribosomal RNA (248 nucleotides) under uncultured bacterium. Its description in RNAcentral is "partial 16S ribosomal RNA". It matches the Rfam family "Bacterial small subunit ribosomal RNA", at positions 113 to 354 of the family's 1533-position model. The record is from RNAcentral.
CAACGUAGGUAACCUGCCCUGGAGCGGGGGAUAACAUUUGGAAACAGAUGCUAAUACCGCAUAACAACAAAAGCCACAUGGCUUUUGUUUGAAAGAUGGCUUUGGCUAUCACUCUGGGAUGGACCUGCGGUGCAUUAGCUAGUUGGUAAGGUAACGGCUUACCAAGGCGAUGAUGCAUAGCCGAGUUGAGAGACUGAUCGGCCACAAUGGAACUGAGACACGGUCCAUACUCCUACGGGAGGCAGCAG